UGCAGUCGAACGAGAAAGCGGGAGCAAUCUCGCGAGUACAGUGGCGUACGGGUGAGUAACACGUGGGUAAUCUACCUCAUAGUGGGGAAUAACGCUGGGAAACCGGCGCUAAUACCGCAUAAUCCGCGACCUUAAGGGAAGCCGGGAAAGCAGCAAUGCGCUGUGAGAGGAGCCCGCGGCCGAUUAGCUAGUUGGGAGGGUAAAAGCCUACCAAGGCAUAGAUCGGUAGCCGGCCUGAGAGGGCACACGGCCACACUGGCACUGAAACACGGGCCAGACUCCUACGGGAGGCAGCAGUGGGGAAUCUUGCACAAUGGGGGCAACCCUGAUGCAGCGACGCCGCGUGAGCGAUGAAGCCCUUCGGGGUGUAAAGCUCUUUCGGCAGGGACGAUAAUGACGGUACCUGCAGAAGCAGCUGCGGCUAACUACGUGCCAGCAGCCGCGGUAAUACGUAGGCAGCGAGCGUUGUUCGGAGUUACUGGGCGUAAAGGGUGUGUAGGCGGUCCCCUAAGUUUGGUGUGAAAUCUCCCGGCUUAACCGGGAGGGUGCGCCGAAAACUGGAGGGCUAGGGUGCGGGAUGGGAGAGUAGAAUUCCUGGUGUAGCGGUGAAAUGCGUAGAUAUCAGGAGGAAUACCGGUGGUGUAGACGGCUCUCUGGACCGCGACUGACGCUGAGACACGAAAGCGUGGGUAGCAAACAGGAUUAGAUACCCUGGUAGUCCACGCCCUAAACGAUGCAUAUUUGGUGUAGGUCAUUCAGUUGAUCUGUGCCGGGAGCUAACGCGUUAAAUAUGCCGCCCUGGGGGAGUACAGUCGCAAGGCUGAACUCA
Molecule: ribosomal RNA, 829 nt
Filed under: uncultured microorganism
Description: bacterial SSU rRNA
Rfam family: Bacterial small subunit ribosomal RNA
Source: RNAcentral